This 494-nucleotide ribosomal RNA is filed under the name Enterococcus hirae. RNAcentral describes it as "bacterial SSU rRNA". It matches the Rfam family "Bacterial small subunit ribosomal RNA", at positions 27 to 492 of the family's 1533-position model. The record is from RNAcentral. Lineage: Bacteria; Bacillati; Bacillota; Bacilli; Lactobacillales; Enterococcaceae.
GGACGAACGCUGGCGGCGUGCCUAAUACAUGCAAGUCGAACGCUUCUUUUUCCACCGGAGCUUGCUCCACCGGAAAAAGAGGAGUGGCGAACGGGUGAGUAACACGUGGGUAACCUGCCCAUCAGAAGGGGAUAACACUUGGAAACAGGUGCUAAUACCGUAUAACAAUCGAAACCGCAUGGUUUUGAUUUGAAAGGCGCUUUCGGGUGUCGCUGAUGGAUGGACCCGCGGUGCAUUAGCUAGUUGGUGAGGUAACGGCUCACCAAGGCGACGAUGCAUAGCCGACCUGAGAGGGUGAUCGGCCACAUUGGGACUGAGACACGGCCCAAACUCCUACGGGAGGCAGCAGUAGGGAAUCUUCGGCAAUGGACGAAAGUCUGACCGAGCAACGCCGCGUGAGUGAAGAAGGUUUUCGGAUCGUAAAACUCUGUUGUUAGAGAAGAACAAGGAUGAGAGUAACUGUUCAUCCCUUGACGGUAUCUAACCAGAAAGCC